RNAcentral lists this ribosomal RNA (478 nucleotides) under uncultured bacterium. Its description in RNAcentral is "partial 16S ribosomal RNA". It matches the Rfam family "Bacterial small subunit ribosomal RNA", at positions 28 to 523 of the family's 1533-position model. The record is from RNAcentral.
GACGAACGCUGGCGGCGCGCUUCACACAUGCAAGUCGAACGAGAAACCCGGGCUUGCCCGGGUGGACAGUGGCGAACGGGUGAGUAACACGUGAGCAACCUGCCCCGAAGACGGGAACAAGCCGGGGAAACCUGGUCUAAUGCCCGAUGUCCUCACCGGACCGCAUGAUCCGGCGAGGAAAGCACCGGUGAUUCGGGCUGGGGUCGCGGCCUAUCAGAUGGUUGGUGGGGGUACGGCCCACCAAGGCGACGACGGGUAGCUGGUCUGAGAGGAUGUCCAGCCACACUGGGACGGAGACACGGCCCAGACUCCUACGGGAGGCAGCAGUGGGGAAUCUUGCGCAAUGGGCGAAAGCCUGACGCAGCGACGCCGCGUGCGGGAUGAAGGCCUUCGGGUUGUAAACCGCUUUCAGCAGGGACGAAAUUGACGGUACCUGCAGAAGAAGCCCCGGCCAACUACGUGCCAGCCGCCGCAGUAA